CCAAAUCCAAAAGCCCUAAAUCAAACGCGUAUUAUUCUUCUUCUCCGAAGAACACGCGAACGAAGCCUCAAAUUUAGUCCAAAUCCAAAGUGAUUGAGCCUCAAAUCUACCCUCACACAUUCCGUCUUCUCUCCUCAUCACCAUUUCUAACGGUUUCUGAUGCCAAUAUUCCCCUCUCCUCUUACUCGCUCGAAAUUGCGUUUUAUCUCACAAUUGGAAGCUUCUGGGAACGAUUUGCUGGAUGAGUGUGAGGCGUUGGAUUGAUUUCACCCAAUGCAAGCCCCACAUUCAUUAGGAAUUCGUUUUUAAAAAAGAGCUCGAUCUGAUUUUGAAAGGGGGACUCGAAAACAAUUUGGAAAAAGGGGGUUGAAAGGUUUCUAAAAUAAAAACUUCUGGUUUUCAGAUUCUAUUGUUCUUCUUUGAAGAGUUCUUUCAAGGUUUAAGGGGAACAUAUAUACAAUUUUUUUUUUGAAUCCGCUUUUUUUAAUGCCUAAGAGACGGAAAUGAAUGAAGGUCGUUCAACUGGUGGUGAGAUUUAAAUUCAUCGAUUUCGAUUUUCUAUUGUCGUCUGGCAGUUGUUGCUGAACCUCGUUAGAUUUGGAGUCGAAAGUUGUGUUGUUGAGUCUGUAGUUAUAAUAGAAAGUUUGAAAUAUCAUGUAAAAUUUCUUUUCUCUACAACAUUUCUGUAUUAAAGUGGUUUGAACUGUGAGAUUUUGCUCAAUGGUAUUUUGUUCCGUGAUUGAAUUUUUGUUGAUGAAUUUCUUCUCAAUGGUGUGAUGUGCUUGAGUAUAUCCAGCCAGUAGAAGCUGAGUCUAUAAGGUCGUCCUCUAUGCUCUAUGCUUUCUAUGCUUUAAUUGUUAUUUUGGUGUCAAGCUGUCAUUAUGGAGUCAAGAUGUCAUCAUUUUCAAAUAAAUGAUGAGUUCAGCUUUGAAAAUCGCAAGCGAGCAUGAAACUAUGAGGGUACUUCUCAUUAUGUGUGUUUUCCGGACUCUAAAUGAUCUGCUCCCAUGAGAUCAGUGUGUUUAUCAGAACCUUUUCUUUAGCCUAGAAUUCAAAUAAUUGUUUAAUUUCCUUUUUCCCAUUUUUUUUACUAUUUGCCCUGUUCUUGUUUGUCUGGAGCUGCUGAAGCUCUCCACAACAGUAUGCGAUCCUUAUGGCUUAUCAUUUGAGAUGACCAAUGAGGUUCCUGUUUCCAGUAGUCAUUUCUGCUUGUUGAACCUCUUAAAAUAGAAUUUAACAUGUAACUUGUUAGUGUGUGUUUUGUUUCCUUUGAAAGCAACCGAUGUC
RNAcentral lists this long non-coding RNA (1287 nucleotides) under Nicotiana benthamiana. Its description in RNAcentral is "long non-coding RNA (NBEN_LNC026425)". The stretch from base 233 to 303 matches the Rfam family "MIR6151 microRNA precursor family". The record is from RNAcentral. Lineage: Eukaryota; Viridiplantae; Streptophyta; Magnoliopsida; Solanales; Solanaceae.